GAAUCAUCGAAUCUUUGAACGCACAUUGCGCCUCCUGGUACUCCGGGAGGCAUGCCUGUCCGAGCGUCAUUAUAACCCUCUCAAGCAUCAUUGCUUGGUGUUGGAGCUGGAGCGUCCUCCGCGGCGGUCCGUUCCGAAUUCCAAUGGCAGACGGCGGUGUCAACGUCAGCGUAGUGAGCAUUUUGCAUCGCGAAGCGUAGUCGCCCGUCCAGCCGAACCAAAAACCCUUCUUUAUAAUGUUGACCUCGGAUCAGGUAGGGAUACCCGCUGAACUUAAGCAUAUCAAUAAGCGGAGGAAAAGAAACCAACAGGGAUUGCCUCAGUAACUGCGAGUGAAGCGGCAAGAGCUCAAAUUUUAAAUCUGGCGUCUUUGGGCGUCCGAGUUGUAAUUUGGAGAGACAUCUUCGGAGAAGGGGCCGUUCCAAGUUCCUUGGAACAGGACGUCACAGAGGGUGAGAAUCCCGUGCUCGGGCGGCUACCCGUCUCCAUGUGAAGUGUCUUCGACGAGUCGAGUUGUUUGGGAAUGCAGCUCAAAAUGGGUGGUAAAUUUCAUCUAAAGCUAAAUAUUGGCGAGAGACCGAUAGCGCACAAGUAGAGUGAUCGAAAGAUGAAAAGCACUUUGAAAAGAGAGUUAAAAAGUACGUGAAAUUGUUGAAAGGGAAGCGCUCGAGACCAGACUCGACUUUCACCGAUCAGCCGUGCUUCUGUGCGGUGCACUCGGGGUUUGUCGGGCCAGCAUCGGUUCCGGCGGUGGGAUAAAAGGCGAUGGAAUGUGGCUCCCCUCGGGGAGUGUUAUAGCCAACGUCACAAUGCCACCAGCUGGGACCGAGGAACGCGCU
RNAcentral lists this ribosomal RNA (839 nucleotides) under fungal sp. ARIZ AZ0935. RNAcentral describes it as "LSU rRNA". The stretch from base 241 to 839 matches the Rfam family "Eukaryotic large subunit ribosomal RNA", at positions 1 to 601 of the family's 3401-position model. Lineage: Eukaryota; Fungi. The record is from RNAcentral.